This 77-nucleotide transfer RNA is filed under the name Patescibacteria group bacterium. Its description in RNAcentral is "tRNA-Ile". It matches the Rfam family "tRNA". From Rfam's summary of the family: Transfer RNA (tRNA) molecules are approximately 80 nucleotides in length. Their secondary structure includes four short double-helical elements and three loops (D, anti-codon, and T loops). The record is from RNAcentral.
GGGCCUAUAGCUCAGUUGGUUAGAGCGCGCGGCUGAUAACCGCGAGGUCAGUGGUUCGAACCCACUUAGGCCCACCA